UCCAGACAUGCGGGCACAAUCGAGCACGUCAGAGAGACAAAGUUGCACACUUACUAGAGGAAUUUGCAAUGCUACAAGAUGAGGCAGACAAAGUGGAUGCAUAUCUUCACAAUGUUCUCCUGAAGAGUGACCAGCCACGCCCUCACCUGGGCCUACCUUGGCACCUGGGUCCUUUACCACACACUGCGACUCAUGAUAAAGUACCUGCUGACUGGAUUCACACUAGAACUGUAUGCCGUGCAUGAAUAUCAUUACGUCUACUGGUACCUUUAUGAGUUUGUGUAUGUGUGGCUGGUGAGUGCCCUCUCCCGUGCAGACGCUAUGCUGCUGGAGCAAGAUGGCUAUGACACCAACAA
Molecule: non-coding RNA, 356 nt
Organism: Penaeus vannamei (Pacific white shrimp)
Lineage: Eukaryota; Metazoa; Arthropoda; Malacostraca; Decapoda; Penaeidae
Source: RefSeq, a predicted model, not a curated record